RNAcentral lists this ribosomal RNA (492 nucleotides) under uncultured bacterium. Its description in RNAcentral is "bacterial SSU rRNA". It matches the Rfam family "Bacterial small subunit ribosomal RNA", at positions 18 to 507 of the family's 1533-position model. The record is from RNAcentral.
CCUGGCUCAGGAUGAACGCUAGCGGCAGGCUUAACACAUGCAAGUCGUGGGGCAGCGCGGACUUCGGUCUGGCGGCGACCGGCAAACGGGUGCGGAACACGUACGCAACCUUCCUCAAAGCGGGGAAUAGCCUCUCGAAAGAGAGAUUAAUACCCCAUAGUAUCGUCAGAAGGCAUCUGAAGGCGAUUAAAGCUCCGGCUACUUUGAGAUGGGCGUGCGGCUGAUUAGGUAGUUGGUAGGGUAACGGCCUACCAGCCGACGAUCAGUAGCUGAUGUGAGAGCAUGAUCAGCCACACGGGCACUGAGACACGGGCCCGACUCCUACGGGAGGCAGCAGUGAGGAAUAUUGGUCAAUGGAGGCAACUCUGAACCAGCCAUGCCGCGUGAAGGAUGAAGGUCCUCUGGAUUGUAAACUUCUUUUAUAGAAGAAGAAACCCCAGUAUUCUUACUGGGUUGACGGUACUCUAUGAAUAAGCACCGGCUAACUCCGUG